This 210-nucleotide ribosomal RNA is filed under the name Morganella morganii. Its description in RNAcentral is "partial 16S ribosomal RNA". It matches the Rfam family "Bacterial small subunit ribosomal RNA", at positions 1 to 214 of the family's 1533-position model. Lineage: Bacteria; Pseudomonadati; Pseudomonadota; Gammaproteobacteria; Enterobacterales; Morganellaceae. The record is from RNAcentral.
UUAAUUGAAGAGUUUGAUCAUGGCUCAGAUUGAACGCUGGCGGCAGGCCUAACACAUGCAAGUCGGGCGGUAACAGGGAGAAGCUUGCUUCUCCGCUGACGAGCGGCGGACGGGUGAGUAAUGUAUGGGGAUCUGCCUGAUGGCGGGGGAUAACUACUGGAAACGGUAGCUAAUACCGCAUAAUGUCUUCGGACCAAAGCGGGGGACCUC